RNAcentral lists this ribosomal RNA (497 nucleotides) under uncultured bacterium. Its description in RNAcentral is "partial 16S ribosomal RNA". It matches the Rfam family "Bacterial small subunit ribosomal RNA", at positions 28 to 507 of the family's 1533-position model. The record is from RNAcentral.
GAUGAACGCUGGCGGCGUGCCUAAUACAUGCAAGUCGAGCGAACGGACGAGAAGCUUGCUUCUCUGAUGUUAGCGGCGGACGGGUGAGUAACACGUGGAUAACCUACCUAUAAGACUGAGAUAACUUCGGGAAACCGGAGCUAAUACCGGAUAAUAUUUUGAACCGCAUGGUUCAAAAGUGAAAGACGGUCUUGCUGUCACUUAUAGAUGGAUCCGCGCUGCAUUAGCUAGUUGGUAAGGUAACGGCUUACCAAGGCAACGAUGCAUAGCCGACCUGAGAGGGUGAUCGGCCGCACUGGAACUGAGACACGGUCCAGACUCCUACGGGAGGCAGCAGUAGGGAAUCUUCCGCAAUGGGCGAAAGCCUGACGGAGCAACGCCGCGUGAGUGAUGAAGGUCUUCGGAUCGUAAAACUCUGUUAUUAGGGAAGAACAUAUGUGUAAGUAACUGUGCACAUCUUGACGGUACCUAAUCAGAAAGCCACGGCUAACUACGUG